Molecule: long non-coding RNA, 1100 nt
Organism: Bufo gargarizans (Asiatic toad)
Lineage: Eukaryota; Metazoa; Chordata; Amphibia; Anura; Bufonidae
Exons: 4
Source: RefSeq, a predicted model, not a curated record
CUUCUACUUUUUUCAGUGUCACAAGAGUAAGAGAACCGGAAGAGCCAAGAGACGCUCCAACCUCAGAUUUGUCAACGUGGUCCCCUUUCUUACAUUUGGCAAAGAGAAAGGUGUCACUGGCAAAACAAGACGGAGAAGCCAAGAGACUCGGUACAACAGCAGAUUUGUCAUUGUGGUUCCCCUACAUUCGGAAACCAAAAAGGUGGCGAAACAAGAGGAAGAAAACUGGAGAAGACUCACAAAGUACAAGCACAGAUUUAUUCACCUACAUUUGUCAAGGAAACAGUGUGCUGCAAAGUGAAGACCGGGUGAAGACGGACGCAGCUGCAGCGAGACAGACACUGAAAUUGAUUUAUUGCCUAAAAACCAUACUACCGGCACUGAGCAAGAAGAGGAACUCUGCAAAACCUGCAAAGUCAGAGGUCCUACGUCAGGUGGCAACACAACAAAUUUAUACCAGGACCUAAAACAGCACAGAGAAAAGUAUGAAGAACGCAGGACACUGAAAGCCCAGAGCGGCCGCGGCUCUACAAAACAAAGAGCAAGCCGGAGCACCAUUACCAAGUCACGCCAUAUGCCAAGUCUUCACAGCGACAUAAAGAAAUCACUGACGCCAUAACCCAAUGCUUGUCAAGAGACAUGAUGCCCAUAUACACUGUUAGCAAAGUGGGAUUUCAGAAGCUGAUCCACGCUCUGGACAAGAGGUAUCUGCUGCCCUCACGAAACUACUUCUCUCAAACAGCGAUCCCCCGAACUCUACAGCAAACGCCGUGAUGCGGUUCAACAGUAAAUGGCUGGGGUGAAAUUCUUCUCCACCACUACGGACUUGUGGUCAAGCAGAACAACUGAACCAUAUAUUAGUCUAACUGUUCACUUUGUCAAUGAGGAGUUUCAACUGAAAAGCCGUUGCCUGCAAACAUCCGAUUUUCCUGAUGACCACACAGGAGAGAACAUAGCCUUGGGCUUGAAGGAGGUGUUGGCUGCAUGGAACCUCUGUGAAGAUCAUCGGGUCGCUAUCACAACAGACAACGGAACGAAUAUGGUCAAAGCUGUGGAGCUUAAUCAGUGGACAAGAUUUCAGUGCUUUGGGCAUAGACUUC